RNAcentral lists this transfer RNA (87 nucleotides) under Bacteroidota bacterium. RNAcentral's name for it is "Bacteroidetes bacterium tRNA-Ser". It matches the Rfam family "tRNA". From Rfam's summary of the family: Transfer RNA (tRNA) molecules are approximately 80 nucleotides in length. RNAcentral also lists the same sequence under 1 other name. The record is from RNAcentral. Lineage: Bacteria; Pseudomonadati; Bacteroidota.
GGAGAGUUGUCCGAGUGGCUUAAGGAGCACGCUUGGAAAGCGUGUGUGCGAGUGAUCGUACCGAGAGUUCGAAUCUCUCACUCUCCG